Long non-coding RNA from Haplochromis burtoni (Burton's mouthbrooder), 466 nucleotides. RefSeq lists it as uncharacterized. The record is from RefSeq and is a predicted model, not a curated record. The transcript is spliced from 3 exons. Lineage: Eukaryota; Metazoa; Chordata; Actinopteri; Cichliformes; Cichlidae.
AAGUGAGCGAGGAAGGGUUUGGCUAAACCUCAUGAAAACCUGGCAGUCGAGGAAUGCUGUGUUUAGCUCUUCAGCCAUGUUUGCAUGUGUUUGUUUCGCUGUGUGCUUGGGAAGUGGAUUGGAGCAGAGGAGGGACGGGCAAAGGAAAAUUACUUGAAUGAUGACACCGCCUUAUGUUACUGCUCCUCCAAGGUGUCAGGUCAGCGGUAAGCCACAGCAAAGCCAUUGAUCCCACAGCAUCCACCACAGUAAGCAGGCUAUUUAGAUGUACACAGAGAGCAGUGUCAGAGACUGAGAGAGGUUGUUAUUACUGAGUGCCUCUCUGUUUCUCCCUAGACUGUUUGCUCUGUGUGAUUAUUCUCUCCAGCUCCCCGAGCAUCCCAGCUUCUGCCUCUGUGAUAAAGAUAUUCAUUUACCUGAUAUGAAAAUCUUGUUCAUGGUGAUCCCAAAUGACUCUAGAUAGAAG